ACGCUUUUUACUUUAGCUUGCUAGAGUAGAAGGAGUUGCGAACGGGUGAGUAACGCGUAGGUAACCUACCUACUAGCGGGGGAUAACUAUUGGAAACGAUAGCUAAUACCGCAUAAGAGUUUUUAACACAUGUUAGAAGCUUGAAAGAUGCAAAUGCAUCACUAGUAGAUGGACCUGCGUUGUAUUAGCUAGUUGGUGGGGUAAAGGCCUACCAAGCCGACGAUCUCUAGCUGGUCUGAGAGGAUGACCAGCCACACUGGGACUGAGACACGGCCCAGACUCCUACAGGAGGCAGCAGUAGGGAAUCUUCGGCAAUGGGGGCAACCCUGACCGAGCAACGCCGCGUGAGUGAAGAAGGUUUUCGGAUCGUAAAUCUCUGUUGUAAGAGAAGAACGUGUGUGAGAGUGGAAAGUUCACACAGUGACGGUAACUUACCAGAAAGGGACGGCUAACUACGUGCCAGCAGCCGCGGUAAUACGUAGGUCCCGAGCGUUGUCCGGAUUUAUUGGGCGUAAAGCGAGCGCAGGCGGUUUAAUAAGUCUGAAGUUAAAGGCAGUGGCUUAACCAUUGUUCGCUUUGGAAACUGUUAAACUUGAGUGCAGAAGGGGAGAGUGGAAUUCCAUGUGUAGCGGUGAAACGCGUAGAUAUAUGGAGGAACACCGGUGGCGAAAGCGGCUCUCUGGUCUGUAACUGACGCUGAG
This 701-nucleotide ribosomal RNA is filed under the name uncultured bacterium. RNAcentral's name for it is "bacterial SSU rRNA". It matches the Rfam family "Bacterial small subunit ribosomal RNA", at positions 66 to 750 of the family's 1533-position model. The record is from RNAcentral.